This is a long non-coding RNA of Amphiprion ocellaris (clown anemonefish), 791 nucleotides long. RefSeq lists it as uncharacterized. Lineage: Eukaryota; Metazoa; Chordata; Actinopteri; Pomacentridae. The transcript is spliced from 2 exons. The record is from RefSeq and is a predicted model, not a curated record.
UCUCAUCUUUUUCCACAAAAUCAACUCAACAUUAACCGCCCUGCUGCUGUGUGAAAGAAACAAACGGAUGCAGGUUUGCUGAGAGUGAAUCUGGGACGAAUCCCUCGAGGCCUUUUUUGCAAACCUGUAGAGAUUCCUCAGAGCGGCCGUUCGACUCUGUUAAGAGAAACAACAAUGACGUCUAUCAAAAAUUUGAAGGUCAGUUGGAUAUUUGAGUUUCUUCAAAUAGUGAUUGGCUCUCAGGAGAACCGAUCCAGGAGCCGAGAGUUCCCUCUGCUGCAGGCCAGAAGUUCAUUAGAGACUCAGAAACUGUCAGCGAAUGUCACUCAGAGUUCAAGAAGCAGACGCAUCUCAGCAUCAGCAGCUGGAGGAAUCAGACACUUAUGGCUGAACUGCUGCAAAGAAACAACUAGUGAGGGAAUAAGAGGAAGAAGAACUCAAACACAAGGGACCAGUGAAGACCUGGACUUUGCUCUGAUCACAUAAAUGUGAAGUAAAAUGUAGAAUAUCUGCCACUCAAAUGGAGCAGAGAAGAAGUAUAAAGGAAGGAUAAGCAGUUUUGCCACUAAAUUCUUUUAAAUAUUCACAUUUGCAGUUGUCAGCUGAUGGAAACAUGCUUUGAUUCAUGUUGUCUUCAAUUGGAAUUUCACAAACUUCUGAAAAUGCAAUGAAACAUUUGAACAGACAUUGACCAUAUGUUUGUAAUGGUGUCCACACAAUUCAUCAUUUCCACUUUUUCCAUUCAUUUUCUAUGCGACAAAGCAUUACAGUAGCAUUGUGUUGUGUUUUGA